Molecule: ribosomal RNA, 455 nt
Filed under: uncultured Dietzia sp.
Lineage: Bacteria; Bacillati; Actinomycetota; Actinomycetes; Mycobacteriales; Dietziaceae
Description: bacterial SSU rRNA
Rfam family: Bacterial small subunit ribosomal RNA
Source: RNAcentral
GAGUUUGAUCCUGGCUCAGGACGAACGCUGGCGGCGUGCUUAACACAUGCAAGUCGAACGGUAAGGCCCCUUCGGGGGUACACGAGUGGCGAACGGGUGAGUAACACGUGGGUAAUCUGCCCUGCACUUCGGGAUAAGCCUGGGAAACUGGGUCUAAUACCGGAUAUGAACUCCUGCCGCAUGGUGGGGGUUGGAAAGUUUUUCGGUGCAGGAUGAGCCCGCGGCCUAUCAGCUUGUUGGUGGGGUAAUGGCCUACCAAGGCGACGACGGGUAGCCGGCCUGAGAGGGUGAUCGGCCACACUGGGACUGAGACACGGCCCAGACUCCUACGGGAGGCAGCAGUGGGGAAUAUUGCACAAUGGGCGAAAGCCUGAUGCAGCGACGCCGCGUGGGGGAUGACGGUCUUCGGAUUGUAAACCCCUUUCAGUAGGGACGAAGCGCAAGUGACGUACUGC